GACGAACGCUGGCGGCGUGCCUAACACAUGCAAGUCGAACGAAGCAUAGCAAUAUGCUUAGUGGCGGACGGGUGAGUAACGCGUGAACAAUCUGCCCUGUACAAAGGAAUAGCCUCGGGAAACCGGGAUUAAAACCGUAUGACACUUUAGUAUCGCAUGAUAAGAAAGUCAAAUCGAAUAGAGGUAUGGGAUGAGUUCGCGUCUGAUUAGCUGGUUGGCGGGGUAACGGCCCACCAAGGCGACGAUCAGUAGCCGGCCUGAGAGGGUGAACGGCCACACUGGAACUGAGACACGGUCCAGACUCCUACGGGAGGCAGCAGUGGGGAAUAUUGCACAAUGGAGGGAACUCUGAUGCAGCGACGCCGCGUGAGUGAAGAAGGUCUUCGGAUCGUAAAACUCUGUCCUUGGUGAAGAAAAGGACGGUAGCCAAGGAGGAAGCCCCGGCUAACUACGUG
This 455-nucleotide ribosomal RNA is filed under the name uncultured bacterium. RNAcentral's name for it is "bacterial SSU rRNA". It matches the Rfam family "Bacterial small subunit ribosomal RNA", at positions 28 to 507 of the family's 1533-position model. The record is from RNAcentral.